This 433-nucleotide ribosomal RNA is filed under the name uncultured bacterium. RNAcentral describes it as "partial 16S ribosomal RNA". It matches the Rfam family "Bacterial small subunit ribosomal RNA", at positions 29 to 507 of the family's 1533-position model. The record is from RNAcentral.
AACGAACGCUGGCGGCAUGCCUAACACAUGCAAGUCGAACGAACCCUUCGGGGUUAGUGGCGCACGGGUGCGUAACGCGUGGGAAUCUGCCCUUUGCUUCGGAAUAACUCAGGGAAACUUGUGCUAAUACCGGAUGAUGUCUUCGGACCAAAGAUUUAUCGGCAAGGGAUGAGCCCGCGUAGGAUUAGGUAGUUGGUGGGGUAAAGGCCUACCAAGCUGACGAUCCUUAGCUGGUCUGAGAGGAUGAUCAGCCACACUGGGACUGAGACACGGCCCAGACUCCUACGGGAGGCAGCAGUGGGGAAUAUUGGACAAUGGGCGCAAGCCUGAUCCAGCAAUGCCGCGUGAGUGAUGAAGGCCCUCGGGUCGUAAAGCUCUUUUACCAGGGAUGAUAAUGACAGUACCUGGAGAAUAAGCUCCGGCUAACUCCGUG